RNAcentral lists this ribosomal RNA (253 nucleotides) under uncultured bacterium. Its description in RNAcentral is "partial 16S ribosomal RNA". It matches the Rfam family "Bacterial small subunit ribosomal RNA", at positions 524 to 776 of the family's 1533-position model. The record is from RNAcentral.
UACGGGGGGGGCAAGCGUUGUUCGGAAUUACUGGGCGUAAAGGGCCAGUAGGCGGCCAACUAAGUCGGAUGUGAAAUCCCCAGGCUCAACUUGGGAACUGCAUCCGAGACUGCAUUGCUGGAGUACGGAAGAGGAAGGCGGAAUUCCCGGUGUAGCGGUGAAAUGCGUAGAUAUCGGGAGGAACAUCAGUGGCGAAGGCGGCCUUCUGGUCCAGUACUGACACUCAAGUGCGAAAGCGUGGGGAGCAAACAGG